This 293-nucleotide long non-coding RNA is filed under the name Brassica napus (rape). RNAcentral's name for it is "long non-coding RNA (BNAP_LNC020465)". The record is from RNAcentral. Lineage: Eukaryota; Viridiplantae; Streptophyta; Magnoliopsida; Brassicales; Brassicaceae.
UGUGGGAGGUCACUUAUUUUAGGAAAUUCAUAAAUAUUCAAAUUAUGAUUUCUAACCAAAUAGAUGCUAUUGGUUUACUCGUGGUUUGAUGGUUUUGCGGUGAAAGAAUCAUAUUGUUAAGCUUUAUUAACCACAGCUCCAUAUUUUAUUUGAUGGUUUUGAUUCUACGGACAAAUGAUAACGGGAAGUACAUCAUGGAAAUUCGAGGCAGACGUAGAGGAAGGAAAGCAAUAUCACAUUUGUAAACAAUGUUUGGUUUAGUGAUGGUUUAAUAAUUAGAGAAUAGAGAGGGU